GAGAGAGAGAGAGAGAGAGAGAAUGGGGAGGAAAAAGCAAUGGGGAGGAAAAAGUAGUGCCUGGAGCUUUUGAAAGGGCUCAGAGCUUUGUGGGACGUGGACAGCUGUGGCUGUGAUCUGCUGCUGCAGGGAAGCCCCGAGUCACCAGCCUUACAGUGUGUCCUCCUGGAAGGAACUGGAGGAGGUAGCAUGUGUACACUCACCUCUAGGCUCUGUUCUAGGCAAGCUUAUCUCUGAGCUGCCCAUAGCAGGGAUGGCUGCGCUACAGAUGUGCUCUUACCCUAAGAUUCACUCUGUAUUGUUUCUGGCCACGUUCAAGCUACGCUCAAGGACAAGACCGUCUGAUACCUCUAUUUUCAAUAAGGUCUUUUUCUAUGUCCUGUGGUGACCAGUGCAGCGAUUUCGAAGUUCUCCUGCCAUGUACCACUGUGAAGGAUCUGGCUCCAGCUCCUUGCUGGACUCCCUGUAGACAUGAGGAGCUGAUUCAGGUGGUUGAUGGCCAUCUCUUCUCCAGGCUGAAAAAGCCUCACUCCCUCAGCCUCUCCUGACAGAACAAGUGCUUCCAAAUUGCUGUUGGAAAUCCCUGUGUUGGCAAGAAACCACAUCAUAUUUACUCUGUCAGUUGGUUACUCUAACCUCGUUCAUUCAAUCAUGAAAGGAGUGAAAGAACUUGACAGCUCUCUUGGAUCUUGCAUGUUUAAUUCAUUUUCAUAUUUUCCUUCCUGACAAGAAGAAUGCCCUGUUGAUCACAAAGUGGGAUACUAAUGUUUGACCUGAUUCUGCAAGGCAACAAAACUCACAAGUUUUGUAUGCCUGACAAUUCCCAGAAGCCAAUAAAUACAACAAGGAUGUUGGCUAGUUGAUGUAUUUCAGUAUUCAACAGUAUUCAAGAGGAAAAACCAGUCAGGAGAGAGCAAACUACAAAGGAGUUUUCCAGAGGAAAUUUGCUUAAAGUCCACAGAAGAAUGAGACUCAACUGAUGUCUAGGAGGAGCAAACAGGACUUCAAAUACCAUGGAGUCAUCCUGGAAAUAACCUUCCUGGAACAGCAGAUUUGUGGAACUCACUUUAUUUACUACACAAGAUCUGAAUCAGUUUUGUUUAAGGCAAAUAACUGUACUAAAUGAGAUGUUGUGAGCACUUAUCUAUCAGUCACUUUGAUCUAUUUUGACUCAUCCUUUUAAAUUUGAACAUAACAUAGGAAUACAGUAACAGUAACUUCCUCAGAAGCUCUUUAAAAAAAAACAGAAUAUAACAAAGAGAUGAGCAAAUCUACGCUGUUGCAGACUGGGUAGCUGGAGCAUGCCUUUUCGAAGAUCAAUACAGUUUUUAUUUUAGGGUCAGAAAUAGAGAAUCCUCUUGAUCCCUUGAUAGGCUUUUCAACUUUUUUAUUACUCUCAUAGCUGAAAAAAAAAAGUUUCUAAACACAGUGGUUAAUGCAAAUGCACUCAUUUAGAGGGAUCUAGAACAGAAUUUCAUAUGAAUUUUUCAAGAUACUGCUUUGAUCUCAUUUGUGAGAAUGUGUGUGUGUGAGUUUGAUUUAAAUCUAUCUAUACCUGCACGCUCAUUUUAUGUUUCAAAAACUUAACAAGAUAUGUAGGUAGGUAAGGUGGGAAAUUAUGAGUAUGUCAUUGAGGACACGCAUAAAUAUAAAUCAUUGGCUCUGAAAAAAUGAGUCCUUUGGAAAGCAUGUUGAGUAAACUAAUUAGUAUUUAUGUAAAACCACUCAGGUCCCCAGCAAUAUCAUUCCAGAAAAGGUUUUCCCUUCAAGUAAGUAAACGCAAGGCCCUUACCUACUUGCAAAGUUUUAAAUCUCAUAAUGCAAAAUGUCACAUUAUUUUGACCAAACACAAACAUUUUUGUUUGUUUUUUGAGACUGCAGUAAGGGGUUGUUUGUGGUGCCAGCCAGUUCUUAUUUCAGUGCAGCAGCCGAGCAUCUGUGACUCUUGAAUCUGUAUGAGUUACAAGUUUAAAAGUUUAAAGCUUUCCCGUAAAUGCUGAUCAUAAGGAAAUGGAUUAAAGAAACAAAAUAUAGAACUUGUUGAACUCGUCUCUAUUUUAAACUGAAGGGAUUGCAUCUGACGAACCCUUUUGUUUUAAAGUAGCCAUCUUGACAGCAGUGAGAACAGAUUGAGUUACUUAAAGGGCCACUGACAAAUCUGGGGAAACAGAAACCCCUGCAAGUUAGGACAGGGUUCUUCAGUGUCAGAAAACAGGAACUGUGUGAUGUGAUAUCAUCUGCUGCUUUUGUUCAUUCCUCCCUGUCACCCAGUUGUGUUUGCCAGGUUGUGAUUCAAUCUAAGAAGACAUGGAGUAAUAAGGAGAGAAAAGUCCCCUAUUCACUGCUUCCACUCAUGUUGGUGAGUUAGUUCCCUAUCAGAGAACCAAGCGUGGGAGCCUGGAGAGGGAAGCAGUAGACCCCAAAUCGUGUGUGUACAUGCACAUGGCUGCUACAUGCACACCUUCUGCACUGCUGGUACCCUAGGGAAACUAUUGUGAUCUCCUGGGAGUGGGAAAAGCCCAGGAAUUAAUUAUGCAUCCAGUUUUGGUAAGUGAUUUUACCUUUUUAUUUAUGAAAAUUUCAGUUCCCUUUUCCCCUCUAAUUGCACAUGCAUACUUUUAAACAGAGGACAAGCACAGAGAUAUCCCAUUUGAUGAAAAAAAAAAAAGUUCUUAAAAUCAUUUUCUGAGCAAGGACCACAAAGCUGAGACAAUCUCAGUUAACAAAUAAGGCUAUGCAAUCUGGCUGAAUAUCCUUUCUUUUUAAACAUCCCCUCCAGCUAACAUGAGGACCUCAUUGAAGUAGAUUAUGUAUAUGACUAAAAUAAGGAGCCUGAGCUUAGAAGUCUAGUGCCUUCUGAUGACCCCUAGAUGUCUGGUGCUAUUGGACACCUCAGGGUAUCCAGGGCAAAGGGUUCGUCAAUAGGACAUGGAAGUACUGGAAUGUUUUGGAUGGAGGCCACAUGAGAUACCUCACAAUACAUAAGAAAUCCUUGGAGAAUGAUUUUCAGGAUCUCUGUGCCAAGCUUUAAAUGAAAGUUGAGGGAGAUUCACCUUCAUGUUGCAGAUGACAAAACUUAGGUGUCACUGCAGGCAUGACGUGGGAGCCAACUAUUUGAGCACCUGGCGUCCUCUGUGGAGUCCUUGCCACUACAGUGUGGGUCUGGACUGCAGUGUUGCAUAGAAGUCUUCCUUGCUACAAACUGAGAAGCUCUUUGGACCCCCUGCACCAACUGCCACUUUUUAUAUGAGGGCUGCUCCAAAAGUAAUGCUUUCUAUUUCAUUACAUUGGACCAAGAACUUCAGAGUCAGUUGUUGGUAAUAUGGCAGUAGAGAUUGAACCGUCCCAACAACAGGCCAUUACAUUUUGUUGCUCUAUGCAACAGGGAGCAGAAUGGCAGUCUGACAUGGAAGUGUGUGUGAAACAAAGGUGUGUCAUUGAAUUCCUCCAUGAGGUGGAUGUGAGUACAGUGAGGAGAUGGGUUUUAUAUUUCAGCAGCGGAGUUGGCAACAUGAAAGACAAGUCAAAUUCCAGAUGACCAUGCAGAUUGUUUCAAGCAUGGCAUACAGGUUCUUUUUCAUCACUGGUGGAAAUGCAUAGCUAAUAGUUGUGACUAUGUUGCAAAGUAUUGUUUUAUAGCUGAGAAUUUGCUCUAUCAACUAGUGUUCUUGUGCUCUUUGUAUCCAUUGUAGUUUCCAUGGAAAUAAAUGGGUGGCAUUACUUUCAGAGCAACUCACAGAGAUGAGUGGAUGCUCAGAGUUUUUAAUGAACUG
Molecule: long non-coding RNA, 3773 nt
Organism: Phasianus colchicus (ring-necked pheasant)
Lineage: Eukaryota; Metazoa; Chordata; Aves; Galliformes; Phasianidae
Source: RefSeq, a predicted model, not a curated record